AGGACGAACGCUGGCGGCGUGCCUAACACAUGCAAGUCGAGCGGGGAGAGCCUUCGGGCUCUUCCAGCGGCGGACGGGUGAGUAACGCGUGAGCAACCUUUCCUUCACAGGGGGAUAACGCAGCGAAAGCUGUGCUAAUACCGCAUAAGACCACAAUGUCACAUGGACGAAAGGGGUCAAAGGAGAAAUCCAGUGAAGGGUGGGCUCGCGUCUGAUUAGCUAGUUGGCGGGGUAACGGCCCACCAAGGUGACGAUCAGUAGCCGACCUGAGAGGGUGAUCGGCCACACUGGGACUGAGACACGGCCCAGACUCCUACGGGAGGCAGCAGGUGGGGAAUAUUGGGCAAUGGGCGAAAGCCUGACCCAGCAACGCCGCGUGAGGGAAGUAAGGUUUUCGGAUCGUAAACCUCUGUCCUUGGGGACGAAAUAAAUGACGGUACCCAAGGAGGAAGCCCCGGCUAACUACGUG
Molecule: ribosomal RNA, 469 nt
Filed under: uncultured bacterium
Lineage: Bacteria
Description: bacterial SSU rRNA
Rfam family: Bacterial small subunit ribosomal RNA
Source: RNAcentral